GCGGCAACAGCUCAAAUUUGAAAGCUAGCCUUCGGGUUCGCAUUGUAAUUUGUAGAGGAUGAUUUGGGGAAGCCGCCUGUCUAAGUUCCUUGGAACAGGACGUCAUAGAGGGUGAGAAUCCCGUAUGUGACAGGAAAUGGCACCCUAUGUAAAUCUCCUUCGACGAGUCGAGUUGUUUGGGAAUGCAGCUCUAAAUGGGAGGUAAAUUUCUUCUAAAGCUAAAUAUUGGCGAGAGACCGAUAGCGCACAAGUAGAGUGAUCGAAAGAUGAAAAGCACUUUGGAAAGAGAGUUAAAAAGCACGUGAAAUUGUUGAAAGGGAAGCGCUUGCAAUCAGACUUGUUUAAACUGUUCGGCCGGUCUUCUGACCGGUUUACUCAGUUUGGACAGGCCAGCAUCAGUUUCGGCGGCCGGAUAAAGGCUCUGGGAAUGUGGCCUCCACUUCGGUGGAGGUGUUAUAGCCCAGGGUGUAAUACGGCCAGCCGGGACUGAGGUCCGCGCUUCGGCUAGGAUGCUGGCGUAAUGGUUGUAAGCGACCCGUCUU
This 542-nucleotide ribosomal RNA is filed under the name Aureobasidium pullulans. Its description in RNAcentral is "partial large subunit ribosomal RNA". It matches the Rfam family "Eukaryotic large subunit ribosomal RNA", at positions 98 to 655 of the family's 3401-position model. Lineage: Eukaryota; Fungi; Ascomycota; Dothideomycetes; Dothideales; Saccotheciaceae. The record is from RNAcentral.